This 464-nucleotide ribosomal RNA is filed under the name uncultured bacterium. Its description in RNAcentral is "bacterial SSU rRNA". It matches the Rfam family "Bacterial small subunit ribosomal RNA", at positions 917 to 1382 of the family's 1533-position model. The record is from RNAcentral.
GGGCCCGCACAAGCGGUGGAGCAUGUGGUUCAAUUCGACGCAACGCGAAGAACCUUACCCAGGCUUGAACUGCGAGUGACAUCCUCCGAAAGGAGGCUCCCGCAAGGGCACUCGUAGAGGUGCUGCAUGGCUGUCGUCAGCUCGUGUCGUGAGAUGUUGGGUUAAGUCCCGCAACGAGCGCAACCCUUGUCUGCUGUUGCCAUCAGGUUAUGCUGGGCACUCUGCAGAGACUGCCGGUGAUAAACCGGAGGAAGGUGGGGAUGACGUCAAGUCAGCAUGGCCUUUAUGUCUGGGGCUACACACGUGCUACAAUGGCCGAUACAAACCGUCGCAAAACCGCAAGGUGGAGCUAAUCGGAGAAAGUCGGUCUCAGUUCGGAUAGCAGGCUGCAACUCGCCUGCUUGAAGUUGGAAUCGCUAGUAAUCGCGGAUCAGCACGCCGCGGUGAAUACGUUCCCGGGCCUU